RNAcentral lists this ribosomal RNA (119 nucleotides) under Lepisosteus oculatus (spotted gar). Lineage: Eukaryota; Metazoa; Chordata; Actinopteri; Semionotiformes; Lepisosteidae. The record is from RNAcentral.
GCGAGCAGCCAUAUCACCCUACAACUCACAACUGGGAACCCACUAAAGCUAAGCAGGUGUGAGCCUGGUCAGUACCUUGAUAGGAGACCUCCUGGGAAAAACUAAGGUUGCUGCUGGAA